GGGGUGACAGUGGGAAUAGCAUCUUCUGACACCACCACGGUGAAGACCAGAAGGGGCGAUGCAUGUGACAGGUCACAGCCUGGACCAGCAGGUGCACGGGGAUUUGAUGACCGCACAGUGGGGACAGACCUGCUGCUGGUAGGGCUCACAAUUGAGAAGGUAGGAGCCCCUUUAUUCCCCUAGAACCAUAUGCGGCUGCGGAGGGAGCUCUGAGCUGAUGCUGAGGUUGAGGUGGCUCCUAACCCCACAGGAUUCUGGGCCCAAGUGAGGUGAUGUCUCCAGCUGUUGCCACCCGGCCUUUUGGAAACCUCAUCAAAAUGAAGAGCAACCUCGGGUGCCCUGGCAGGACGGCUGGUGGCCUCAGCACGGCGUUCCCAGAGACAACAAGGAGCCGGUGGCCCUUUCUUCAACCGCCAGAUAAAGGCGGUCUCAAGCACCACAAAAAGCAGAGGCUGCUCCAAGUCCCCCACUGGCCCAUGACCUGGAGCGAGUCCCAAGCCCGGGCUGAGAAGGGCUUCAAGCUGGCGCAGGCUUCUGCACAGAGGCUACGUGACGUCUUGGGCAGCUCAGCUGAGCUCGCCACAUCGAGUCCUGGGCAUCUUCAACAAGGUGGAACUUGUCCUGGGGAAGGGUGGGGGGACAGGGCGGGACAGCAGGACCAGGUCUGCGGCUGCCACCUUCCUGAGGACAGGGACCAGACCCUGUCCAGGGGUCCUGCUCCUGUCUCGCUCCUCCCGCACCCAUCUUUCGAUCCAGGUACACACAUAGAAAAGUCGCCUCGACACCAGUGCAUCUGGGCUGGAGUUUCUCUCAGGAAAAGUAAAGUUUUGGCUGUGUGAAAGAUGGGGGUGGGGGACAGCGUGGCCUGGCAGCUCCAGGGGUGACCGACCUGCAGCCGUUUGAAGUCCACCGUUAUCUGCCGCUGGGCUGUCUGGCUUCUGCCGGGGCAUAAACAGGGUGAUUGAAGUGGGCGUUGUGCCUUUCCGGACCACAAAAGCCCCCUCACUAAUUGCCACAUCAAAUGAUCGGGAAGCCCCCAGUGGAGGCCUGCAAAUUACCGUGAACACACAGCGCGGCCCGAGGCUGCAGCGCCCCCUCCCCAGCUGCCUGCCCUGGUCCCGUUACAGCGGAGGUGUGUGGAGGUGGGGACGGCUCUGCCUCACUGCCAGCGGGCUCUGCCAGCCUUACCCUUUGUCUCUCACUGCAGAGGGCACGUCCUUUCCCUCUGGCCCUGCCUGGGACACAAGGGACUGCCAGCCUCAGAACUUUCAAAGAGGCCACUGGAGACAUAAAGCGACACAGUGCUGUGUACACAGAGCCAUAGCAUCGAAGCCUGGCUCUUUGGGGCUCUUUGCUGUACCUGAAUCCGGAUGGGGGUGGCCGG
Molecule: long non-coding RNA, 1384 nt
Organism: Chinchilla lanigera (long-tailed chinchilla)
Lineage: Eukaryota; Metazoa; Chordata; Mammalia; Rodentia; Chinchillidae
Source: Ensembl